Molecule: ribosomal RNA, 118 nt
Filed under: Oryctolagus cuniculus (rabbit)
Lineage: Eukaryota; Metazoa; Chordata; Mammalia; Lagomorpha; Leporidae
Source: RNAcentral
GUCUACGGCCAUACCACCCUGAACACGCCUGAUCUCGUCUGAUCUCGGGAGCCAAGCAGGGUCAGGCCUGGUUAGUACUUGGAUGGGAGACCUCCUGGGAAUACAUUUAUUGCUAAAC